GACGAACGCUGGCGGCGUGCUUAACACAUGCAAGUCGAACGGAAAGGCCCUGCUUUUGUGGGGUGCUCGAGUGGCGAACGGGUGAGUAACACGUGAGUAACCUGCCCUUGACUUUGGGAUAACUUUAGGAAACUGGGGCUAAUACCGGAUAGGAGCUCCUGCUGCAUGGUGGGGGUUGGAAAGUUUCGGCGGUUGGGGAUGGACUCGCGGCUUAUCAGCUUGUUGGUGGGGUAGUGGCUUACCAAGGCUUUGACGGGUAGCCGGCCUGAGGGGGUGACCGGCCACAUUGGGACUGAGAUACGGCCCAGACUCCUACGGGAGGCAGCAGUGGGGAAUAUUGCACAAUGGGCGGAAGCCUGAUGCAGCAACGCCGCGUGCGGGAUGACGGCCUUCGGGUUGUAAACCGCUUUCGCCUGUGACGAAGCGUGAGUGACGGUAAUGGGUAAAGAAGCACCGGCUAACUACGUG
This 468-nucleotide ribosomal RNA is filed under the name uncultured bacterium. RNAcentral's name for it is "partial 16S ribosomal RNA". It matches the Rfam family "Bacterial small subunit ribosomal RNA", at positions 28 to 507 of the family's 1533-position model. The record is from RNAcentral.